Molecule: ribosomal RNA, 431 nt
Filed under: uncultured bacterium
Lineage: Bacteria
Description: bacterial SSU rRNA
Rfam family: Bacterial small subunit ribosomal RNA
Source: RNAcentral
ACGAACGCUGGCGGCAUGCCUAACACAUGCAAGUCGAACGAACCCUUCGGGGUGAGUGGCGCACGGGUGCGUAACGCGUGGGAACCUGCCUUUUGGUUCGGAAUAACAGUUAGAAAUGACUGCUAAUACCGGAUAAUGUCUUCGGACCAAAGAUUUAUCGCCAUUAGAUGGGCCCGCGUAGGAUUAGCUAGUUGGUGAGGUAAAGGCUCACCAAGGCGACGAUCCUUAGCUGGUCUUAGAGGAUGAUCAGCCACACUGGGACUGAGACACGGCCCAGACUCCUACGGGAGGCAGCAGUGGGGAAUAUUGGACAAUGGGCGAAAGCCUGAUCCAGCAAUGCCGCGUGAGUGAUGAAGGCCUUAGGGUUGUAAAGCUCUUUUACCUGGGAUGAUAAUGACAGUACCAGGAGAAUAAGCCCCGGCUAACUCCGU